Molecule: non-coding RNA, 332 nt
Organism: Oncorhynchus mykiss (rainbow trout)
Lineage: Eukaryota; Metazoa; Chordata; Actinopteri; Salmoniformes; Salmonidae
Source: RefSeq, a predicted model, not a curated record
GUUGUGGUGAUGAAAGCUGUCAUUGGACUAUGCGUCGUGGUGCUUUUGGCUGGAAUGCUGGGCCUUUUGCUGAUAGACUGAACAGGAAGAAAGAAUUGCAGUACAGUGAGAGGACACAAGCAGGAAGGAGCUCCAGACUAGGUGCUUGUCAAAUCUAGGGCCCUUCUCAUGUGGAAGACACUGAGGUUCAGUUUGCAUCUCUGGGUCGGCAGAACUGGAGGGAAAGAUCGAGGGUACAGGGAGACCUGCAUCACGUCAUCUAUCCCGCUGUGGUCACUGCUAGACCAGCAUUCCAGGGUUUGAAGAGAAUAAUACAUAGAUUUGACGGUUUG